RNAcentral lists this ribosomal RNA (413 nucleotides) under uncultured bacterium. RNAcentral's name for it is "bacterial SSU rRNA". It matches the Rfam family "Bacterial small subunit ribosomal RNA", at positions 505 to 916 of the family's 1533-position model. The record is from RNAcentral.
GUGCCAGCAGCCGCGGUAAUACGAAGGGUGCAAACGUUGCUCGGAAUUAUUGGGCGUAAAGCGCACGUAGGCGGCUUUGUGUGUCGGAUGUGAAAUCCCUCGGCUUAACCAAGGAAGUGCAUUCGAAACUGCAAAGCUUGAGUACUUAAGAGGAUCGCGGAAUUCCCGGUGUAGAGGUGAAAUUCGUAGAUAUCGGGAGGAACACCAGUGGCGAAAGCGGCUCACUGGACCACAACUGACGCUGAGACGCGAAAGCGUGGGUAGCAAACAGGAUUAGAUACCCUGGUAGUCCACGCUGUAAACGAUGAGCGCUAGGUGUUGUGGGUGUUGACCCCUGCAGUGCCGCAGCUAACGCAUUAAGCGCUCCGCCUGGGAAGUACGGCCGCAAGGCUAAAACUCAAAGGAAUUGACGG